AAUUUGUUUCAGAAACAAAGCGAGCCAAGAGUAAAUCAUUCAGAAAUUGAAUGAUGGCAGAAUAACGGCGACUCUAUCAUGCCACAUGAGAUUAUUUAAACAGUUGUUAUAAAAGCCUUGUUGGUUUUUCGAUAACGAUUACGUCGAGUCCAAGGAUGCUAAAGAAUCUAAGAAGCCCAGCAGCCGAGGACUAAUCGCCAUAUGAGCCCGGAAUUGCGAAUGUAAAUGAGCGGAGGAAAAGUUCAAACGGCGUAAGUCAACACACUGGGAAAACCGGUUCACAGACACCGACAUACGCGCGAAGGACGUCAGCUUUUGCAAGUUAAAUCUGAAAAUUCAAGGGCCAGCUCGAGGGGAGGAUAUUUCUGUCCGAGACCAGAGGGAAACGAAGGAGAGAAGGAGAAGGACAAGACGCAGCACGAUGUCGAAUACCCAGCAACGAAGCUUCGCUAUCGCACACCCUCUAUUCCGGUAUUCCUAAUCGUCGUCGAGGAACGAGGAGAGAGACUCGAUAGGGGAUGAUGACACUCACCCUCACGGGGUUAGACCGUCGCGAUGAAAGCCUCGUUGGCAGCGCGGACGACCAUCAUCGUGCUCGCGUCGAAAACGGCAGUAGUGGCAGUGGCAGUGGCACCCACGGCGGCGAUGACAAUGGCAGCGACGGUGGCGGCGGUGGCAGUUACGACGACGUCGAGGACGCUGUGAAACGCGGCGACAACGGCGGCGGUGGCGACGACGACGACGGCGACGGCGGCACCACGACGAGCAACGUUAGCGUUAGUGUAAACCGAUGAUGACGGCGACGAGGAUAACGAGCAGUAGUCACUAUCCACCUCCGUACGAUCCGGAGAGGACACCAUUUCCCUUUUGCCCGUCCGAUCGCGUGCACACCCGACGACGACGACGCCGACGCCCGCACUGCUGCUGCUGCUGCUGUAGCUGGUCCGCGAAACGACGACCACGCUAUGGCACCACCGUGGUCGCGCUACCACACCGAGUGACAUCGUCGCAGUGUCAUCGUCGUCGCGCCCAUCGGCGUGCGCUCCGAUUUUUUUUCUCUUGCGUGCUGGUUACCCGAUAUCGCACCGUGUUUGCGCGAAACACGAAAGGAAAAAAAAAGGAAAAAAUGAACAAACGAACGCACAAAACGCACGCACUCUCUCUUCCUCUCUCUCUAUAUAUAUAUCUCUCUCUCGCUCUCUCUC
Nylanderia fulva is the source of this 1205-nucleotide long non-coding RNA. RefSeq lists it as uncharacterized. NCBI's taxonomy places the organism in Eukaryota, Metazoa, Arthropoda, Insecta, Hymenoptera, Formicidae. The record is from RefSeq and is a predicted model, not a curated record.